Cephus cinctus (wheat stem sawfly) is the source of this 1799-nucleotide long non-coding RNA. RefSeq lists it as uncharacterized. NCBI's taxonomy places the organism in Eukaryota, Metazoa, Arthropoda, Insecta, Hymenoptera, Cephidae. The record is from RefSeq and is a predicted model, not a curated record. The transcript has 3 exons.
GAGUCACUUCGUAUAGAAAUUAUUUAAAAUCCUAACUCGAAUGUUGUCCGCUCGACGGAGAGUCGAUUGGAUAAAAAUGAUAAAAGAAUUAAGUCGGGAGGAAAAAGGCAAGAGGGAAAAAAAUAUAUCGAGCGACCAAUCGAGAUUCGAGAGUCUCGAUUCCUCGAGUCGAACUCGUUCGUGCGCGACCAAUCGUCGCCGUGCAUGCUGUUUCCUACUGAGUGAGGUUAUCUGUCAAGUCCGGUGCAAUGGGAAUGCAAUGGGAUACGAAAGGACGCGAAAGCGUCGUAAUUGUAGGUCCAGUGAAUAAAGAGAUUCCCAUGUGAUUUCUUGUGAACAAAAUAAUAUAAGCUCCGUAUUAUUGCGAUGCUUGGAAUAUCGUAUUUGCAGACAGGACGUACGAGAUUCGUAUGGCUAACGUUCCGUGCGUGUCUGUGAUGUAAUUAAUGGUAUUACGGAAAUCUUAAAAAGAUUCACGAGGAAACGUGGCUUCAGGAAAUGCACUUUGGUAAACAGAGACUGGCUGACGUGCAUAGGUUAUGGGUUUUAUAUGCUGCUCGAGAUACGUGGAUUAAUUCGACUGCAGUUGCUCUAUCUGUUAUCCCGUGCUGCACCUUCUUUCGCAAGAGGCUGUACAAUUACGAAAAUCAUUAGCGAUCUCUGGGCCGCUCCUGAGGAGGAAAAAAAUUACACGUGCCUAAUUGUAAUGCGAUAAUAAGCGAAUCUUACGAAUCGUGCGUUUCGUGAAUAGAAUUUAUUCGAGGACGUAAUCAUAAUAAUAAUGCAGUUCAUUGAACUCUUGGAACUUUAUAGAUCGUAUUUUUAUACUGUUGCGUAAUGUGCAUCUUUAAUUAAUACUUAUUGGCUUCUAUUUAUUUUCAAUGGUUCUUAGAAGCGUUUCCAAGAGCUGCAGCACAGUGUUGCAUGAAAAUAUUUUAAAUGUUUGUUUAGCUCGUGUGAUCUUGAGCGAUUAGUUGAUUUACCUUGUUUGGUAAAAAAACAAAAAAAAACGGAAGUGCAAGAGCAACGAAUCAAGGAAGCGGAAAGAUUAAAUGAAAUAUAUGGUGAUCAAUCUUCAGGGUUCAUGAAUCAACCAAUGCGGUGAUGCAGUUCGUGACUCGGGAGAGAAAUUGCAUCUUUAGCAAGUUUUAUACGAUACAUGGGCUUGUAACGCGCAUGAUACUGCCACUGAAAAAAAGUGUAAAAAAUGUACUGACAACCUAAUUAAACACGGCAGAAAAGUUGAACGAUCCCUCGUUCAAUUGAUUGAUACUGUGGAAUAUUGAUUAUCGAUCGAUUGAUAAAAUCGAUAUCUGUAUAUAAAAAGUGUGUAAUAAAUUAUUUCAAAGAUUAGGUAUAAUAGCUAUUUCGUUAAUGAAAAAUUUAUCUGGAUAAUUUCACGGGCUAUUCUUUUACUUUCUCGCGAUGCACCUGCUGCACUUUCCUCGUACAGUUUCUACGUUUCUAUAUAUGAUCUCUGGGCGCGAUGCACUUUUCUGUGUAUGCACUUUUUUUUUGGACGACGAAUCCUUUCUUUUUAUUAUCGUGCCCGUGACCGAGAUUACACAUAAUAAUGGGUCGUGUUCACGAUUUGUACAGUUACGUUGGUAUCUUGUCCGCGAGAGAGAGAGAUCUCAAUUUCACGAGAAAACAAUAAAAGAAAUUGAACGUGAAGAAAAAUUCUUGAACCCACCAAUCAUCGGAACGACUGAAGUAAUUGUCGCGAAGUAUCAAUUUUAGGGUAAAUUAGUUUUCGUAAACCGAUUAUAACACUUAGCGUAAUAGCAACCUGCGGCAUA